RNAcentral lists this ribosomal RNA (963 nucleotides) under uncultured bacterium. RNAcentral's name for it is "bacterial SSU rRNA". It matches the Rfam family "Bacterial small subunit ribosomal RNA", at positions 8 to 970 of the family's 1533-position model. The record is from RNAcentral.
AGAGUUUGAUCAUGGCUCAGAGCGAACGCUGGCGGCGUGCUUAACACAUGCAAGUCGAACGCGCAGCAUUCUGUAGCAAUACAGGGUGUGGGCGCGUGGCGAACGGGUGCGUAACACGUGGAUAACCUUCCGUCAGGUGGGGAAUAACCCAGUGAAAAUUGGGCUAAUACCGCAUAACAUCGCGAUGAGACAUCUUGUUGCGAUCAAAGGCGCAAGUCGCCGGAAGAGGGAUCCGCGGCCGAUUAGCUUGUUGGCGAGGUAAUGGCUCACCAAGGCAUUGAUCGGUAGCCGGACUGAGAGGUUGGCCGGCCACACUGGAACUGAGACACGGUCCAGACUCCUACGGGAGGCAGCAGUGGGGAAUCUUGCGCAAUGGGCGAAAGCCUGACGCAGCAACGCCGCGUGGGGGAUGAAGCUUCUCGGAGUGUAAACCCCUUUCGACCCGGAAGAAAAUCCGCAAGGGUUUGACGGUACGGGUAUAAGAAGCCCCGGCUAACUACGUGCCAGCAGCCGCGGUAAAACGUAGGGGGCCAGCGUUGCUCGGAAUUACUGGGCGUAAAGGGUCCGUAGGCGGUGUGGCAAGUCGGUAGUGAAAUCUCUGGGCUUAACUCAGAGGCUGCUGCCGAAACUGCUGUGCUAGAGUGCGAGAGAGGCGAGUGGAAUUGCGGGUGUAGCGGUGAAAUGCGUAGAUAUCCGCAGGAACAUCCGAGGCGAAAGCGGCUCGCUGGAUCGCAACUGACGCUGAGGGACGAAAGCUAGGGGAGCAAACAGGAUUAGAUACCCUGGUAGUCCUAGCCCUAAACCAUCAGACUUGGGGUUUGCCCUGUACGGGGCAAGUCCCGUAGCUAACGCGUUAAGUCCUGCGCCUGGGGAGUACGGUCGCAAGGCUGAAACUCAAAGGAAUUGACGGGGCCCGCACAAGCGGUGGAACAUGUGGUUCAAUUCGACGCAACGCGAAGAACC